AGUGAGCGCUGGCGGUAGGCCUAACACAUGCAAGUCGAACGGCAGCACAGUAAGAGCUUGCUCUUACGGGUGGCGAGUGGCGGACGGGUGAGGAAUACAUCGGAAUCUACUUUUUCGUGGGGGAUAACGUAGGGAAACUUACGCUAAUACCGCAUACGACCUACGGGUGAAAGCAGGGGAUCUUCGGACCUUGCGCGAUUGAAUGAGCCGAUGUCGGAUUAGCUAGUUGGCGGGGUAAAGGCCCACCAAGGCGACGAUCCGUAGCUGGUCUGAGAGGAUGAUCAGCCACACUGGAACUGAGACACGGUCCAGACUCCUACGGGAGGUAGCAGUGGGGAAUAUUGGACAAAGGGCGCAAGCCUGAUCCAGCCAUACCGCGUGGGUGAAGAAGGCCUUCGGGUUGUAAAGCCCUUUUGUUGGGAAAGAAAAGCAGCAGGUUAAUACCCCGCUGUUCUGACGGUACCCAAAGAAUAAGCACCGGCUAACUUCGUG
Molecule: ribosomal RNA, 492 nt
Filed under: uncultured bacterium
Lineage: Bacteria
Description: partial 16S ribosomal RNA
Rfam family: Bacterial small subunit ribosomal RNA
Source: RNAcentral